CUCGUAGGCGGUCCGUUGCGUCUGCCGUGAAAACCCGGAGCUCAACUCCGGGCCUGCGGUGGAUACGGGCGGACUAGAGUCCGGUAGGGGAGACUGGAAUUCCUGGUGUAGCGGUGGAAAUGCGCAGAUAUCAGGAGGAACACCGGUGGCGAAGGCGGGUCUCUGGGCCGGAACUGACGCUGAGGAGCGAAAGCGUGGGGAGCGAACA
Molecule: ribosomal RNA, 208 nt
Filed under: uncultured bacterium
Lineage: Bacteria
Description: partial 16S ribosomal RNA
Rfam family: Bacterial small subunit ribosomal RNA
Source: RNAcentral